CUCGGGUUUGAUCCUGGCUCAGGAUGAACGCUAGCGGCAGGCUUAACACAUGCAAGUCGAGGGGUAUAGUUCUUCGGAGCUAGAGACCGGCGCACGGGUGCGUAACGCGUAUGCAAUCUACCUUUUACAGAGGGAUAGCCCAGAGAAAUUUGGAUUAAUACCUCAUAGUAUGCAGAGUUGGCAUCAACACUGCAUUAAAGUCACAACGGUGAAAGAUGAGCAUGCGUCCCAUUAGCUUGUUGGUAAGGUAACGGCUUACCAAGGCAACGAUGGGUAGGGGUCCUGAGAGGGAGAUCCCCCGACACUGGUACUGAGACACGGACCAGACUCCUACGGGGAGGCAGCAGUGGGGAAUUUUGGACAGUGGACGCAAGUCUGAUCCCAGCCCAUUCCGCGUGCAGGA
This 403-nucleotide ribosomal RNA is filed under the name uncultured Flavobacterium sp. RNAcentral describes it as "bacterial SSU rRNA". It matches the Rfam family "Bacterial small subunit ribosomal RNA", at positions 1 to 408 of the family's 1533-position model. The record is from RNAcentral. Lineage: Bacteria; Pseudomonadati; Bacteroidota; Flavobacteriia; Flavobacteriales; Flavobacteriaceae.